Molecule: ribosomal RNA, 207 nt
Filed under: uncultured bacterium
Lineage: Bacteria
Description: partial 16S ribosomal RNA
Rfam family: Bacterial small subunit ribosomal RNA
Source: RNAcentral
CGCGUAGGCGGAUUAGUCAGUCAGGGGUGAAAUCCCGGGGCUCAACCCCGGAACUGCCUUUGAUACUGCUAAUCUUGAGUUCGAGAGAGGUGAGUGGAAUUCCGAGUGUAGAGGUGAAAUUCGUAGAUAUUCGGAGGAACACCAGUGGCGAAGGCGGCUCACUGGCUCGAUACUGACGCUGAGGUGCGAAAGCGUGGGGAGCAAACA